Molecule: ribosomal RNA, 253 nt
Filed under: uncultured bacterium
Lineage: Bacteria
Description: partial 16S ribosomal RNA
Rfam family: Bacterial small subunit ribosomal RNA
Source: RNAcentral
UACGGGGGGGGCAAGCGUUGUUCGGAAUUACUGGGCGUAAAGGGCGCGUAGGCGGUUCGCUAAGUCGGAUGUGAAAACUCUGGGCUCAACCCAGAGCCUGCAUCCGAAACUGGCGGGCUAGAGUUCUGGAGGGGGUAGCGGAAUUCCUGGUGUAGCGGUGAAAUGCGUAGAUAUCAGGAGGAACACCGGUGACGAAGGCGGCUACCUGGACAGAAACUGACGCUGAGGCGCGAAAGCGUGGGGAGCAAACAGG